RNAcentral lists this ribosomal RNA (500 nucleotides) under uncultured bacterium. RNAcentral's name for it is "partial 16S ribosomal RNA". It matches the Rfam family "Bacterial small subunit ribosomal RNA", at positions 30 to 523 of the family's 1533-position model. The record is from RNAcentral.
AUUGAACGCUGGCGGAAUGCUUUACACAUGCAAGUCGGACGGCAGCACGGACUUCGGUCUGGUGGCGAGUGGCGAACGGGUGAGUAAUGUAUCGGAACGUGCCCAGUCGUGGGGGAUAACGUAGUGAAAAUUACGCUAAUACCGCGUACGAUCUAUGGAUGAAAGCGGGGGACCGUAAGGCCUCGCGCGAUUGGAGCGGCCGAUAUAAGAUUAGGUAGUUGGUGGGUUAAAGGCUCACCAAGCCGACGAUCUGUAGCUGGUCUGAGAGGACGACCAGCCAAACUGGAACUGAGACACGGUCCAGACUCCUACGGGAGGCAGCAGUGGGGAAUUUUGGACAAUGGGCGCAAGCCUGAUCCAGCCAUUCCGCGUGAAGGAUGAAGGCCCUCGGGUUGUAAACUGCUUUUGUACUGAACGAAAAGGCUCUGGUUAAUACCUGGGGCUCAUGACGGUACCGUAAGAAUAAGCACCGGCUAACUACGUGCCAGCCGCCGCCGUAA